This is a long non-coding RNA of Chelmon rostratus (copperband butterflyfish), 2746 nucleotides long. RefSeq lists it as uncharacterized. The record is from RefSeq and is a predicted model, not a curated record. NCBI's taxonomy places the organism in Eukaryota, Metazoa, Chordata, Actinopteri, Chaetodontiformes, Chaetodontidae. The transcript has 4 exons.
CCACUGUUCUCACCUCCGUUCCCCCCUCAGUGCUGAGGAAUAGACGCAGCCCAGAUCUCUGCUGGACAAAACAUCUGUUCAGCCUCUGAGGAAGUUCAGGCAGAGUGUGAGAGGGGGCGAGGACCUACAGUGCGCCCUUAUACAGCCCACAGGCUGUAUGGAGACUCCACGGGAUCCAAGAGGAAACUUCUAGACAGGGAAGUGCAGAGCGAAGAGGAACCGGAUUACAAUGAGGAAUCUGUGGAAGUGGCGCCUGUGGCGAUGUGUUUGGCGUCUGCUCCCUGCCCCCCCGCCUCCUCUCCCUCUCCCUGCAGCAGAUGGCUCUGGUCAGAGGUGGACAGGUAACAGACGACCCUGUAACUCCCCCCGGAGCACCUGAGCCCUGCCCUGCCCCGCCUGUCCCCCCUCCUUGUCCCGCCACCAACCUCAUCCACCCCUCUCGUCCAACUCCAGCCCUUUCUGCUCCUCCGUCAGCCCCGCUGCACCACCCUCCAACCCCUCCCUGCUCCUCAGCGUACCCCUCCCCUCCCUCCUCUCUCCUCUGGGCUGUAUCUGGUGGGCCAGCUCCCUCCUCCUCCCCCCAGUGGUGCAGGCCUUCUGGACGGAGCAGAUGGUAAGAGAGGGCCAGGAGGAGACGUCCUCUAACCUGGGAGCGCAGCCAGACCUGGCCCACAGCGAAUGCCUGAUGCCUGCCUAAUAGACCUGGAUCGGGCUUGCAAGAAAUCGUCUCUCUCGGUGUGUGUGUGCGUCUGCAUAUGGCCAUGUGUGUUUUUCACCAAGCCAACAUUACGCUGUUUUUGCUGUUGCAAUUAACUGUGUGUUAUUGGAAUGUGUGUUAUUUAAACCUCAGAGUAUUUGGCUGUUUCACUGAACCUUACAAGGGCCAGAAGACUCGAUGAGUCCAAAACACUGAUUCCCAAAUAGGGGUACUUGUACCCGAGGGGUGAGUGGUGGAAGUACAUUUACUCAAGAACUGUACUUAAGUACAAUUUUGAUAUGUUUUACUUGAGUGUUUCCAUUUUCUACUUCUACUCCAUUUCAGAGGGAAAUAGUGCACUUUUCACUCCACACAGCUCCAGCUCUAGACAACAGGGGGCCCGAGGCAAGAUUUUCUUUUGGGGCCUUGCCUGAAGUCGAGAACUAUGAAAUAAAACUACAAACUAUAUACUAUGACUAUACAGUAUACAUACUUUAACAAUGUAAAUCUAUUAAUUGUUUAAUGCUGUCAAUUUAACAUGACAGCGUUUAGACAUCCUACUAACACAAUGUAGCAACAACAUUUCUGCAAUCUCUUAGGUCGGUUUAAUACUUGCAUUACAUUAAUACACAAAACACACACACACACACACACACACACACACACAAACACACACACAAACACACAGUAAACAUGUCUUCAUUCAAUAGAUUUGCAUUAAGAAUUAUGCCCUCAGAGGAAAUCAGAGGUCUCAACAACAUCCUGAAUGCACACACAGUUAUCACACAUCGGCUCACAGACAGCACCAUAUAAAAGCAGAAAUACUCUGUAUUGUGUUUCUGGCUUUAACAGCAACACUAAAGUGGAAACAGGGGCACAAUCACAACCGCAUAUACUCCUUACCAGACUCCUUUAAAAAAUCUCACAGUUUUGUGAGCUGUUGAGAAACUUUAUAAACUUACAGAAACGCUGUCUACGUCAAAUUUGUCAUCUGGCCUGCAGCACCUGUGCCAAUCAAAUCUAUGCAUUAACAUCUCGUAUCCAUUGACACAGCGGCCCUCUGUGAUUGGCUCAACAUGUUCUGUCCACCUGACUGGAACCUAAUCAGUCUGACUGUACUUAUAUAUAGACACUGAGUUUUUGCGGGACAUUUCAACCCCUCUUGAGGUUUUCUAGUGGUCACAGGGACCCAAAGCAGGCGCUUAGUUCAUUUUUGCAUCAGGCCACUCUCCCUCCACAAGUCCUUGCUACUUUGCAGGUUAUUAAUACAAAAUAUAAUUAACCAAUAAAUUAUCAGGUCUUUUCAUAGGUCAAGAUAAGACUUUAUUGAUCCCCAGGGGGAAACAAUCAUACGCUACCACGUAGCAUAUUGGGUCAUUAAAAUUAGCCCCAACUUUACCAUGCAGCAACGUUAAAGUGAUGUACACGUUAACGUAUCAAUAAUUAUAAUACAUUAUUCUGAAGUAAUUAUUCUGCAUAAUGAGAACUUUACUUACUUUUGGUACUUUAAGUGUAUUUUGAGGCUCAAACUUUUAUACUUCUCUCAGUUUUUAAUGCAUGACUUCAUCUGUACUCUGUAGUAUUGCAACUUUUACUUAAGUAAAAGAUCUGAAUACUUGAUUGACUUAACUGAACUUCAGGAUAUUUGCUGCCUCUAUAAUGACGAAAACCACCAGCUUCAAUAGGCCGACUGCACAGGACACACCUGCUGCCAAUCUAAAUCAGCUGGAACACUUUCACACCACCUGACAUGUUUGAGAGACCAUGAAAACUUGUUAGCGAGUGUGCAAAGAAGUCAAAUCACUAAAGGUGCUGGAUAAAUGGAUCAACUUCUGCCGCUCCAGAUGGUAGCAUGAAUACAAGCUUGACCUGAAAAGAAGAAAAUAAGAGCAAGCCGUCGAUUUUUCCAGCAUCACUUUAUCUAUCGAUAAAAAAUAGAGCAGCAUUAUGUGUGGUGUUGAUGAAGGAGUACUUGACCUGGUGUUAUAGAGCUGUGGGGUCACAUCAAGAAACGCCGGUUGAAUGUAUUUACUGUGUAUGUAUGUUUGA